GUCUGGGGAGGGGCGCAGGGCAGCGCACGUUUCCACUGCGCUCUCCUUUGUCUCCGUUUGGGAAGAGGUGGCGUCGAGACUAGCAGUGCUUGGCGGUCUCACGGACAAAUGUACUGAGCGCUGGAACCUGUAUGUACAAGACAGAAGACUUAGCUCCUGUAGAGCUUACAGUCUAGCAGAACAAUCAGUGGACACACAGCGACCCAUGGGCC
This 212-nucleotide long non-coding RNA is filed under the name Callithrix jacchus (white-tufted-ear marmoset). RNAcentral describes it as "lncRNA (ENSCJAG00000075387.1)". Lineage: Eukaryota; Metazoa; Chordata; Mammalia; Primates; Cebidae. The record is from RNAcentral.